Non-coding RNA from Cicer arietinum (chickpea), 401 nucleotides. Lineage: Eukaryota; Viridiplantae; Streptophyta; Magnoliopsida; Fabales; Fabaceae. The record is from RefSeq and is a predicted model, not a curated record.
UCUUACUAUUUGCGUAUAUAGCACACAUUCAUAAUAUAGCAUAUGUACUAUAUACAAUAUGAAGACUACAAGGAUUUCUACUCUCACAGUUGUAUUUUUAUUAGCUUUCUUCAUUAUAGCAUCAAGUACGACGUCAGAUAUGAGUCAAGAAUCAGAAGGAGGAGGAGUACUCAAAGCAAAAUUUUCGUGUAAAACAAAUGCAGAAUGUCAACCCAAAUGCCCUGUUGGAUUAGUUGGAAUAUGUAUGACCGGGAGGUGUUGGUGUUAUUUCUUUCCGCCACAUGCCGAUAAUAUUCCAAAUCUUUAAUACUCCAAAUUGAAAACUAAGUAUUGAAAUAUUGUAAAUUAUCUUGUAUGGGUGAGAAUAUGAAAAAAAUAAAAAGGUCGUUAAGGAAAUGUUA